This is an RNA transcript of Quercus lobata, 932 nucleotides long. It is a transcript of the gene named glycine dehydrogenase (decarboxylating) 2, mitochondrial-like, with no coding region annotated. The transcript is spliced from 7 exons. The record is from RefSeq and is a predicted model, not a curated record. NCBI's taxonomy places the organism in Eukaryota, Viridiplantae, Streptophyta, Magnoliopsida, Fagales, Fagaceae.
AAGAAAAGAGCGAGAGAGAGAAGAUGACGAAAACGUCAAUGGCUUCCCUAAGGUCAUUCUCCGCGAGGUUCGUGGUUGCUCCGCUGAGUUUCCUUUCCACCGUCAAAUUCAAAGAAUCUGCAACUGAAGCCAACCUUCUCUGAAGAGCAAAAUCCUAACCCCGGGUACCAUCAGUUGGUAUUCCAGCACCAAAAAGGGCUCAACCUCUUGGUACCAUCUCUGCUGCUCCUUGGGGUUCUGCACUUAUUUUGCCAAUUUCAUAUUCAUACAUAGCCAUGAGUUCUAAGGGACUCACUGAAGCCUCAAAGAUAGCAACCUUGAAUGCAAACUACAUGGCAAAACGUUUGGAGAGCCACUACCCCAUUCUUUUUCGAGGAGUCAAUGGAACAGUCGCCAAUGAAUUUCAAGGGUAUACUGUUGGCUAUGUGAAUAUUAAAGCAAAAAUGUUGUUUAUACUUUGCAAGUUGAACUUAGACAUUGAUGCUCAAGGUCUAUUGUUCAGUUAAGAUUUGUCGGAACCGCAGGCAAAGAGAGAUAGGCCAUAUCCCCGUAACCGGGUGAAUGGGAAAAGGAGCUACCUUUGCUGGGUUUCUUAGUUCAAUAAGAAAAAGGAGGAAGCUUUAUAUGUUUUUGGUCGUGCUUUCCUUGGAUUUCUUUGAGAGGUUGGUCCGACUAUUGUGGAGAGUUGUUGGUGGUCUUUUUGGGUUAGGAAAGGAUUCUGUUUAUGGAGUUAUGGAGGGCUGGAACAGUGGUACUUUUUGUAUUUGUUAUGUUACUUUUUUUCUUUUCUAUCUCAUUUGUCUAUAUUGAAUUGUGCUUAAGAACAACCAAUGCUAUUGCCCAUUGUACCUAGAUAUAUAAAUUACUUUGUUAUAUACUACAGAAUAUGAGUAGCAAGAUAGAGUUACAAAAAAUUGCCCCCUUUUGUAAAA